GAUGGGAGCUUGCUCCCUGAUGUUAGCGGCGGACGGGUGAGUAACACGUGGGUAACCUGCCUGUAAGACUGGGAUAACUCCGGGAAACCGGGGCUAAUACCGGAUGGUUGUUUGAACCGCAUGGUUCAGACAUAAAAGGUGGCUUCGGCUACCACUUACAGAUGGACCCGCGGCGCAUUAGCUAGUUGGUGAGGUAACGGCUCACCAAGGCGACGAUGCGUAGCCGACCUGAGAGGGUGAUCGGCCACACUGGGACUGAGACACGGCCCAGACUCCUACGGGAGGCAGCAGUAGGGAAUCUUCCGCAAUGGACGAAAGUCUGACGGAGCAACGCCGCGUGAGUGAUGAAGGUUUUCGGAUCGUAAAGCUCUGUUGUUAGGGAAGAACAAGUGCCGUUCAAAUAGGGCGGCACCUUGACGGUACCUAACCAGAAAGCCACGGCUAACUACGUGCCAGCAGCCGCGGUAAUACGUAGGUGGCAAGCGUUGUCCGGAAUUAUUGGGCGUAAAGGGCUCGCAGGCGGUUUCUUAAGUCUGAUGUGAAAGCCCCCGGCUCAACCGGGGAGGGUCAUUGGAAACUGGGGAACUUGAGUGCAGAAGAGGAGAGUGGAAUUCCACGUGUAGCGGUGAAAUGCGUAGAGAUGUGGAGGAACACCAGUGGCGAAGGCGACUCUCUGGUCUGUAACUGACGCUGAGGAGCGAAAGCGUGGGGAGCGAACAGGAUUAGAUACCCUGGUAGUCCACGCCGUAAACGAUGAGUGCUAAGUGGUUAGGGGGUUUCCGCCCCUUAGUGCUGCAGCUAACGCAUAAGCACUCCGCCUGGGGGAGUACGGUCGCAGACUGAACUCA
RNAcentral lists this ribosomal RNA (848 nucleotides) under Bacillus siamensis. RNAcentral's name for it is "bacterial SSU rRNA". It matches the Rfam family "Bacterial small subunit ribosomal RNA", at positions 71 to 903 of the family's 1533-position model. Lineage: Bacteria; Bacillati; Bacillota; Bacilli; Caryophanales; Bacillaceae. The record is from RNAcentral.